Molecule: ribosomal RNA, 490 nt
Filed under: uncultured bacterium
Lineage: Bacteria
Description: bacterial SSU rRNA
Rfam family: Bacterial small subunit ribosomal RNA
Source: RNAcentral
CUACGUGCCAGCAGCCGCGGUAAUACGUAGGGCGCGAGCGUUGUCCGGAAUUAUUGGGCGUAAAGAGCUUGUAGGCGGUUUGUCGCGUCUGCUGUGAAAGGCCGGGGCUUAACCCCGUGUAUUGCGGUGGGUACGGGCAGACUAGAGUGCAGUAGGGGAGACUGGAACUCCUGGUGUAGCGGUGGAAUGCGCAGAUAUCAGGAAGAACACCGAUGGCGAAGGCAGGUCUCUGGGCUGUAACUGACGCUGAGAAGCGAAAGCAUGGGGAGCGAACAGGAUUAGAUACCCUGGUAGUCCAUGCCGUAAACGUUGGGCACUAGGUGUGGGGGACAUUCCACGUUUUCCGCGCCGUAGCUAACGCAUUAAGUGCCCCGCCUGGGGAGUACGGCCGCAAGGCUAAAACUCAAAGAAAUUGACGGGGGCCCGCACAAGCGGCGGAGCAUGCGGAUUAAUUCGAUGCAACGCGAAGAACCUUACCAAGGCUUGACAU